UACGGAGGUUGCGAGCGUUGUUCGGAAUGACUGGGCGUAAAGGGAGCGCAGGCGGUUCGGUUUGUCCGGCGUGAAAGCCCGGGGCUCAACCCCGGCGGGCCGUCGGAAACGGCCGAACUGGAGUACGGAAGAGGAGAGCGGAAUUCCGGGUGUAGCGGUGAAAUGCGUAGAUAUCCGGAGGAACACCGGUGGCGAAAGCGGCUCUCUGGUCCGAUACUGACGCUCAGGCUCGAAAGCGUGGGGAGCAAAC
Molecule: ribosomal RNA, 250 nt
Filed under: uncultured bacterium
Lineage: Bacteria
Description: partial 16S ribosomal RNA
Rfam family: Bacterial small subunit ribosomal RNA
Source: RNAcentral